This 564-nucleotide long non-coding RNA is filed under the name Monodelphis domestica (gray short-tailed opossum). Its description in RNAcentral is "lncRNA (ENSMODG00000034325.2)". Lineage: Eukaryota; Metazoa; Chordata; Mammalia; Didelphimorphia; Didelphidae. The record is from RNAcentral.
CCCCCCUCCACGCGAGGCUGGCUCUGGAAGGCAGCAGCCCAGCCCUGGUUUUGGCAGUGGGCUCUGUAGAGGGCUGAGCUGCAGCCAGCCCUCUCUCUCACAAACAGCGCCCGAUUGUUCACUUUGGCUCCCUGUGGGCUCUGAGGAAUUUGGUUUGGUAAUUCUCUCACAGGGAGCCCGGAAGGCCAGACAGACUGCUUCCGGCUCAGGGGUGGCACUGAGCAGCCCAGAGUCCCAUGUGGAGCCCAGCAGAAAAUAGGAAUCCGAGGCCCUGCCAGAAUCAUCAGAGUCAAGUGGCAAGGCAAAAGUCAAGGUGACUGGGGAUGGCCCAGGAUUCAGCAGAUGACCGUAGCUUCUUCAAUGUCUAACCAAACGAGAUACUGGAAGGGUUCUCCAAUUCAUUUGACAGAUGAAGAAACAGAAGCAAAGAAGGUUAAAUGACUUUCACGAUCACACGUCUAUGUCUAAGGCCAGAUUUUAAUUUAGGAAGAGGAAUCUUUUUGACUCUAAAUCUAGCACUCUAUCCACUAUACCAUGUAGCUCUCUCAUUUUGGAGAGGAGACU